This 1326-nucleotide long non-coding RNA is filed under the name Homo sapiens (human). Its description in RNAcentral is "HSALNT0386308". The record is from RNAcentral. Lineage: Eukaryota; Metazoa; Chordata; Mammalia; Primates; Hominidae.
GACACAUGUUCAUGUAGUAGAUGAGAAUAACAAGAUACACAAGUGAGAACAUCUGGCCUGGCUGCUUUGUCUGUUACAUGAAGGUCAAAUGACAUGAAGAAUGGGAAAGGAUUUUAUGAGUGUUCAAAUGUUGGGGGAGCGUCUUAUCACAGAGGACUUUCUGCAGGAGGACAUCCACACUCCUCCUGUCACUGGAUCAGCCAGGAACAUCACCACACUCAGCCAGCUGCACAAUCUGCCAUAGCUGUGUUCUGAGAACUUCUGUAAACAAAGUAAUAUUAAUUAUGGAGAUGAUGAAAUCACAAUCAAAAUUCCAAACUAAGUUCAUCUGCAACCCACGAUCACACUACAUCUUGGCGGGAAUAUGCUGGUUUGAAGUAGUCAAGGGCUGGAGUUUGAAAGAGGAACAAAUGAAGCCUGACCUUGGGAGGAACUUCCAAAGAUUCUGAGCCAACUCCCAACAGGGAGCUCUCAGGAUUCAGCGAGUGUCCUGAGUGUGCUGUCUGUCUGUGACGCCGGCUAGGCCAAGCCUGAUGGUUCCUCAUGAGAAUGUCCUGGCCUGUGCUGCUGAAGGUGUGGUCCACAGUGGGGUCAGUCUGCUGUUUCCAGUCUCCAAUGCAACUCAUCCAUGAACAUAUGUGCAGAGUUUGUAAACCUUCCAUUUUUCUGUUAUUUCUGUAUGUAUUUAUUGAUUUUUUUGUGUAAAAUGUAAAACAUGGGUUCUGUAUUUUGUGUUUCAUUAUCUUCAUAGUUAAUAUUACUUUAUUUACAAAGGUUUAGGUCUGGGAUGGAUAGAAAAUGAAAACUGUCCCUUCACCGUGGAGUUUGAGAAGCCCCGUGGAGGAUUCAAGUAAUUUAGGCAUUGGAAUCCACCUCCUGUGGUCACUUUCAAGCCUAAAAUCCGCGGAGGAUCUGAACUUGGGCAGGGAAACCUGAGAAUAAACAUGAGGAAUGGAGAAGUCUCUGUACCACGUUUAAUGAGUGGAGCUGAUCGCGUAUGUCCCCAUCCCCAUAUCAUCCAGCACAGUGCAGGUGCCUUUUACAGAAGAUGGAGGUCAGUGAUGUAACGGGGCUUGCCUGAAGGCGCUCAGACUGUUCAGCACUCACAUUUCCAUCCAGAGCCCAGUCUAAACUCCCAGUUCAAUCUCCCACCCCAGUCCCUCAUUCCAAAAACACAACAGGAACCAGAACGGGAAUCAAGUCUAAGUGUUUAAUUAUUAUUCACAUAUUUCACAGAAAAAAAGGAAUGUAGCAAAGGGGUCAAGAUUGUAGCAAAAAACAAAAAAUCCUGGAUUUUACGGGUCACUCUAUUUGUACUUGGGAGCA